CUGGUCCUGUCCGGAAGGGGCUUGCGCUGCGGGGCAGGCGUCGGGGGUUUGGGGCGAGGGGUGACGCGGCCGAGGCCUUAGACUCGGAGCUGACGGGCACCCCAGUUUCAGGUGUACCUCGAUGCCAAGGUAAGGACCGAAAGUGCCCUCGUGCCAAAUUGCAUGGACUACCACAAAGCCGAGUCAGGAUGACUGAGCGCUGCCACGCCUGGCACCGGCCUGACUGGGGAGGAGAAAGAGCCCGGGUGAGCGGAGAGGAGUGGCCAGAUGUUGGGGCACAGGCCUGCAGAGAGGAAGGGAGAGGGAGAGAGAGAUAGACACAUCAGUGAUGAGAGAGGAUCAUUGAUUGACUACCUCCUGCACACUGAGGAUGGAGAAUCAAACCAUGACCUCCUGGUUCAUAGGUCGACGCUCAAACCCUGAGCCACACCCCCUGGUCCUCUGUAUCAUAGGUGUUGAUAUCAGUAUCUAGUAGGGCAGCUCCUUCCAUCUUAUUCUCCUGGCGGCAUGUCUUGCCCCUUGUUGGCCUUUACUCCUUCACAUCAGUCUUCCAAAUAAAGCUCGUUCCAUAAACACA
Myotis daubentonii (Daubenton's bat) is the source of this 577-nucleotide long non-coding RNA. RefSeq lists it as uncharacterized. The transcript has 3 exons. Lineage: Eukaryota; Metazoa; Chordata; Mammalia; Chiroptera; Vespertilionidae. The record is from RefSeq and is a predicted model, not a curated record.